CAACGCAUCCUGGUUGAGUCUUCUGAUUCUUCAGCUGCAGCUAUCCCCCUGCUGGAAGAACGCAUUCAACGGCUCCAGAUGCAAACGGCAAGGCUGGAAGCCACAAUCCAGCAACAAGCCAAGACUAUUGAAGUCCUUGAGACAAUCCAGCAAUCUCUUACCUCAGGCUCUUCUGUGGACACCAGUCUUUGGCACCAUGAUUUUCCACACGCUAUCAAAAACUGUUUUGGAGUGAAGUGUGCAAAGUGAGCCAGUCCCUGGGGCUGGGUCACCCUGCAGGUGUUUCC
Molecule: long non-coding RNA, 287 nt
Organism: Zonotrichia leucophrys gambelii
Lineage: Eukaryota; Metazoa; Chordata; Aves; Passeriformes; Passerellidae
Exons: 3
Source: RefSeq, a predicted model, not a curated record